RNAcentral lists this ribosomal RNA (254 nucleotides) under uncultured bacterium. RNAcentral's name for it is "partial 16S ribosomal RNA". It matches the Rfam family "Bacterial small subunit ribosomal RNA", at positions 524 to 776 of the family's 1533-position model. The record is from RNAcentral.
GACAGAGGCCCCAAGCGUUAGGCGGAAUCACUGGGCUUAAAGCGUGUGUAGGCGGACGCCUAAGUGUCUUGUGAAAUCCCACGGGCUCACCCGUGGAACUGCUGGGCAUACUGGGCGUCUUGGGCCAACUAGGGGCAGCCGGAACAAGCGGUGGAGCGGUGAAAUGCGUAGAUAUCGCUUGGAACGCCGAAGGUGAAAACAGGCUGCUGGGGUUGCGCCGACGCUGAGACACGAAAGCCAGGGGAGCAAACGGG